This 220-nucleotide unclassified non-coding RNA is filed under the name Ascomycota sp. RNAcentral describes it as "partial contains small subunit ribosomal RNA, internal transcribed spacer 1, and 5.8S ribosomal RNA". The stretch from base 1 to 47 matches the Rfam family "Eukaryotic small subunit ribosomal RNA", at positions 1785 to 1831 of the family's 1831-position model. The record is from RNAcentral. Lineage: Eukaryota; Fungi; Ascomycota.
AAAGUCGUAACAAGGUCUCCGUAGGUGAACCUGCGGAGGGAUCAUUACAGAGUUCGUGCCCUGACGGGUAGAUCUCCCACCCUGUGCUAUCCAACCGUUGUUGCUUUGGCGGGCCCUGAGCUCACCCUCGGCCCGCCAGAGGAAACCUAACCCUGAAUGUGUGUGUCGUCCGAGUACUAUAAAAUAGUUAAAACUUUCAACAACGGAUCUCUUGGCUCUC